UACGGAAGGCAGCAGUGGGGAAUAUUGCACAAUGGGCGCAAGCCUGAUGCAGCCAUGCCGCGUGUAUGAAAAAGGCCUUCGGGUUGUAAAGUACUUUCAGUCGUGAGGAAGGUGUUAAGGUUAAUAACCUUAGCAAUUGACGUUAGCGACAGAAGAAGCACCGGCUAACUCCGUGCCAGCAGCCGCGGUAAUACGGAGGGUGCGAGCGUUAAUCGGAAUUACUGGGCGUAAAGGGCACGCAGGCGGUUAAUUAAGUUGGAUGUGAAAUCCCCGGGCUUAACCUGGGAAUGGCAUUCAAGACUGGUUAGCUAGAGUCUUGUAGAGGGGGUAGAAUUCCAUGUGUAGCGGUGAAAUGCGUAGAGAUGUGGAGGAAUACCGGUGGCGAAGGCGGCCCCUGGACAAAGACUGACGCUCAUGUGCGAAAGCUGGGGAGCAAACAGGGAUUAGAUACC
RNAcentral lists this ribosomal RNA (452 nucleotides) under uncultured bacterium. Its description in RNAcentral is "bacterial SSU rRNA". It matches the Rfam family "Bacterial small subunit ribosomal RNA", at positions 340 to 786 of the family's 1533-position model. The record is from RNAcentral.